This 6450-nucleotide long non-coding RNA is filed under the name Homo sapiens (human). RNAcentral's name for it is "HSALNT0182206". Lineage: Eukaryota; Metazoa; Chordata; Mammalia; Primates; Hominidae. The record is from RNAcentral.
AUCCAGGCCUUUGGGAAGAUGUGGUUUUAUUAUUCACCUCAUUUUACAGGUGAGGAAACUGAGCCUGAGACCGAACAAGGGGCUCACCGACCACUAGAGGUGACCAGAAUUAGUGCUCCUGAAGACACUCACUUGCUACUCCAAGACUGGAUGAUCUGUCAGGUUCUCUCUACCCCUGACAGUCUGUGGAUUGGGGAGUUUUCAUGGUUUAAAGCUCAUACCUCUCUACCCAGAGAAGAGUCAACAUCACCAACCUCAGGGCUUCCUUGUGACGUGGACUAUAGGGCAUUCUGAUGACUUUCCUUCAAAUGCACAGUCAUGAAAUCAAACCCUGAAGCCUGCUCUCCAGGCCGGUCCCACAGAUACCAGGAGGCUAGGGCCAUGCCACAGGGGACAGAGGAGCUCUGCUGCACCCACCUUUGCUACAGAGGAGCCCAGCAUCCCCUCAGCUUCCCACUGCAAUUUUUCAUGUCAUUUUUUGAGAAAGGGAAGGUUCCUCAGCAAGGUCUCUUUGUUCGUUAGGAAAUACAACCCACAUUUCUUCUCAGUCUGAGAUGGGGCCCUCUGGGCUUCCCAUGCAACAGGAGAUCCCUGCCUCAACCCCAUCCCCUGUUGGCCACACACUGAUGCUGCAGUCAUAGAGCCAGGGGCAAAAGUGGCAGCAUGGUCAGGGCUAAGCAGAAGGAGCACCCUGAGCAGACGGCACCAGGUUUCAGAAAAAAGUGUCCAGGCACUCAGGCCACUGCUGCAAGGAACGGGGCCAAAAGAUCCAAGUUCCCAAUCAAAACCUUGACUCAUAAUCCCCCAGCCUUGGAAAAAUAGUAAAAGUCCAACUUCAAAGGAAGUUAAAUAAGAGCUCUGUUCUAGUUGCACCCAAAAACACAUCUCAGAGAAACGCCCCACCCAGACGCUAUUUUUCUAUCAGAGCUUUUUUGUGCUAGAGAGGAACCAGAGACUCCUUGCUCUGGACCCACCAUUUACAGGUAAGGAAACUGAGUCCCAGAAAGGACAAGCCAUGUGCUAAAAGUCAUGCGACCAGCAAAUGGCAACUCAGGGACAAAAUCUCUGAGCUCCAAUGCCCAGACUUGACUAUGUUCAUGACAGCCCAUGGAGUUCUUUAAACACUGAUUCCAGACCAGCACCGCUCCAGCCUUACCCCAGCCUUGCCAGAGGAAGGGGCUCAGAGAGGUUUAAGGUUAGUAAGAGUCCAAGGGGCUCUUUCCUAGUCCUCUCCCCCAGGGUGAGGAAAGUGGGGGUGAGAAGGGGUAGAGAGCGAAAGAGCAGGGGGAGCUACCAGAGGUGCAAGAUUCAGCUGGGCGCUGGCUCUCACGUGGUCACAAAGAUGUGCUUAGUGCAGCUCAGAGGGGCGCGUGUGGAGUGAGAAAGCUUACACCUAGAGAUGCUAUCUCACAUUUGUAAAGCAACUCACACUUGAAAACUGCUACAGAUAGACUCAUUUCAUUCAUUCCUCACAAUACAUCUUACGCAUAAGGAAACUGAGGCUGGAAGAGCUUAUGUAACUUGCCCAAGGUCAUUUGCUCCAGAGCUGGAGAGAAAGAACUCAGAGCUCCAAGUUCUGGCUCCAAGGUCCAUGUGCUGGCCACCAAAAUGCAUGGUUCAUUUGCACCAAAAUGCCUGGCUCAAAUGCAGUUGUUCCUUCGUUUUGCAGCACACUUCCAUGUCCAUUUCUUGUUUGAUCCUCACCCUGCCUGUGAGGUCUGCAGGGCCGGAAUUACAGAAAUCCUGUGUUACCACUGAGCAAAGUGAGGCUCAGAGGGGUCAGGGCUUGUCAGAGAGUGGAGAUGCCAUGUCCUUUCCAUGACGUGGUGUGACGCUGCCAGGGUCACACUCUCCCCUCCUCUCUGGAGUGGUGUCCCCAGGGCUGGAGUGCAGGGGAAAGGUGCACUCAGAGGCCCUGAGAACAGAGCAAAAACCCUUGUGGAGGAGCCAGUGAGAAGCUAGAGCCGCGGGACCCCAGGCCAGGGUCACAGAGAGCCCCUGAAAGUGAGAAUUGAAGGGUAUGGUGACCCCGAGAUGUGGCAGGAGCAGGUCACGUGGUGCCGGGCCACUUCUGAGGGAAGGGUGGUAGGCGGAGGGGAAGCUCUGUCCAAGGAAAGAACAAAAUAGCAGAAAGGAACAAAACCAAAGCAAAGGACAGAGGACCUGUUUCUGGGGCAGGGAAAGGGUCCUAAGGAAACGUGGGUCUUGAACUCCCGCUGUGACCUUGGGAAAAUCAUCCCCCUUCUCUGACCCCAGUCUCCUCCCCUAUAAAAUAGGAAAAUAGGGCAAGAUCAGAGAAUUUUCCAACACUUUGGCAGCAGAACACUGUUUUCAAAUAAUAAGGAUUAAUUAGUAGCUGACAUUUAUUGAGCAUUUACUACGCACCAAGCUUUGUAGUAAACAUUUUAUACACAGGACAGUAUUUAAUCCUCACAACUACCCUAUGAGUGGGUGUUCUUAUUAUCCCCAUUUUACAGAUGAGGAAACUUGAGGCUCAGAAUGGUUAAUUACCUCGCCUAAGGUUACUGAUUAAUAAAUCACUGAGUAGAGACUGAAACCCACAUCUGUCUACCAGCAAAGGCUGUCCAUACUACACCAUGUUAUCUCCAAAUGAAACCUCAUAUGAAGUUGCUGCAGAAACUCUAUGGGAAAAAAAGACUUUUAGAUCUUCUGGAACUACAACAUCUAGUCUCCGUGAAUCUGCACCAUCUCUUAGCACUGGGUCCUGGGAGGAGGGGGUGCUUCCACCAGCUCCCUCCCCUUCUUCCUGCCAUGUUCCUACUUCCUAAGAAGCAAAGACAAACUUGAGUUAGGAUCAACAUGAGGAGCCCACAGUGGGUUAAUGUGACAGAUGCAUCUCCCUGGGUGGCAGAGUGGGCUUCUUGUGGGGUGACAGUCACUGAAGUAUGCUUCCAACUCGAGAGUCCUGGACAUGUGUGGACACGACAGUGUGCUGACCACGAGUGAAUGUAUAGGCAAGUCUUCCUGGAAAACAGGCCAUAUUUCUCACUGAGGCUCCCUGGAGUGGCUGGUGGUCACAGCACCCACCACUUGGACACUUUGUCCUGCUGAUACUAAUAAUAGCAAAUAGCAUUAUCAUCUGGCAGGCGCUCUUCUAAGUGCUUUACAAAUGUUGACUUGUGUAAUCCUCACAGCAGCACUAUGAGGUAGGGACUAUCAUUAAUCCUGUUUUAUAAAGGAAGAAACUGAGCAGAUAGCCUUUAAGUAACUACCCCAAAGUCAGAACAGAGGAGCCCUUCUCAACACAUCAGAGACACUUAGGGGUGCAGCAAUUCACACUGCUCAAACAGCCUUACAAAUACUAACUGAUGUGUGAAAAGGAUUGGAGUGUGUUCACAGACCCCAGCAUCUCAGAGCUGGAAGUUGUUUUAGAGACCCUCAGAUUCAGACCCUUCGUCUUAUGCACAAACUCCAGCCGAAAGAGGGACGGUAACUCAGGUGAGUUCGCAGGUUUGUGAUAAAGAUGAGUCCAGAAUCCAUCUGUCCUCACACCUCCUCCGCCAAACAAGAAAGUGCAGGGAUUAUUCCCCAGUCUCGCUGAGGGACAACCUGAGAUGAUCAGUCCAAGGUCACCAGAGGGAGGAAGGCAUGAACCCAGCCCCAGAAUUCACGCAGUGGUCCUUCCCACGAACUCAGAUGUCCUCAGGACACUGAGGGGCUAAAUGGAGCCCAGGUGCAGGAAGGGACGGAGACCCAGCCGGCUCUCCUGUGAGGCAGAAGUUAUAACACCCAGCCCAGCGCCGACUCCUCCAACCACCCCCAGCUCUCCAGGGUCCCGUGGAGAUGGGGUGGGAAGGGAGCCAGUCAAGUACACACCUCCCUUUGAUAACCUGGAGCCCUGGAGCCGACAUUUGCCAGCAGGCUUAACCCCUUUUGUCCACGCUUCCCUCCUCAAGAAAACCUUAAUCAUCCUCAUUUGAAUUUCAAAUGACCUCUCCCCCUCCCCACCCCAACAGGCUUUGAGGCAGGGAUAUGGAAAUUCACCCUGCAGUAUGGAAAUCAUCGCCCUAUGCAAAUUGGGCGCCGAGACCCCAUCGUCAUAGCAACCACCCAGUUUCCUCUCCUUUCCGCACCUCUCUGGGCUCCCCGGCUUCGAUUUUUCGUUCCUUUUUCCAGCCCAAGCAGCUGAAGGGAAGGCAAGCCCCCUACUGGGGCAGGUGGAGUGUCCCCAGCUGAGGUGCCCAGUGGGGUCCAGAUACGCCAGCCUACCUGCCCACACCUCUCGUACAAACCUGGACUGGGCACACCCAGGCAAGGCCAACCGCUGGUUUUUCUGGCUGGGCUAAGCCAAGGGUGGGCUAGGCUGUGGUGGGGAAGACUGGGAGUCUGGGGGAGACCACGAGGCCCCCAGAGGUGGCAGGCAGGAAAGGAGACACAUGGGGGGCUUUGGUGGUGCCAGUGGUAGGAGAUGAAAGGCAGUGUGUGGAAGCUGUAUGUAAAAUGCCAUGCAAAUGAACACCUAUUAUUUUUUGAGUCAACAACAGCACUGAUGCUUUUGGGAGAUGCCUGCAGCUGUUUCCCAUGCUCCUGGCUUGGCACAAAGGCCUGCCCUCCCUGAGUCUCCCAGGGAUCUGCUGUUACCCCAGGAGCGCCCACCAGCAAGCUCACCAGUCCAGGGAGAGCCCAGGUGGGCACUUUGAACUCUUGGUGUCUGAAGCCCAUAGGAAUGAAACCCAGCCACUUAUGAGGGCUCUGGUCACACAUCCUGCCCUGUCCUGCCAGACCCCCAGGCUCCAAUGUGGGAGAACCCCAGAAGCCCCUGUUGGGGUGACCUCAUGCCGCUUUCCUUUUAAGUACUCUCAGCUUGACUCUGGCCCUCUUCCUCCAAACCAAAGCCUAUGAGGAAUGGGGAUGAGAGGAAGGGCUCCUGCUUUUCCCCCUUUCCACUUCUUCACCUCCUAGACAGUCCUAGGAGUGGGUCAUCCUGGGCAAGCCCUUCCGGGGGGAAGUGGUCUCCACAGACCCAUAACAAAUGCUGGCCCCAAACUCCAACUUGUCAUCUCCUCUGCCCCUCCUGUAGUUUCACAAACUUCCUCAAGCACCCAAUUCUGCCUUGAAAGAGCAACCUCGACCAGAAAAGAGACUGCCUCUAGGUGCACCCCCAACUCUGGGGUCUGAAGUGUAUGUCUGCUUGUCUAUGCGGGUGCUUGGGGGCUGGGUUGGGACAGACUGUAGCUGCAUGUCAGUUGCCUGGGUUCUGGCUGCCCUUCAAGGCCCUAAGACUUGUCUAAUUUGAACGCUCAUUUCUUUCUAAAUUCUUCCUCCACUUUUUCAGCACUUUUCCACAUUCAGGUGUUCAUCGCCCUAAUCGUUUCUGAGGGAGGAAGGUGAACCCAAGGUACAUAAAGGAUUUACUCCCAGCUUGGGGCUGGGGGAGUCUGCAAUUUUGGGUGCCUUAGUGAAGGGCUGAGGCUCAGAAAGCUGCAGUGGCCUGAGUCUCUGGAUGCUGCUCAGUCUUCCAGUCUGCAGGGUAGGUGGGUGUCAUGCCACCCCGGUCAGCAAAGGACAGACUGGGACCUCCCUCUCCUGCUGGGUCUCCCAUCAUCAUCCCCCAACAUCUCCAGGGAGGGAGUGAGAGGAAUGGUAAGGAGGUCAUACGAAGAUGUACCCAGGGUCAGGUGGAGCCAUUGCUCACGGAGGCCACAGGAAAGAGACUUUCUAAUACACAACGCAAACUCCACUAAGGUAGUGCACCACAAGGCAUGAGCCACCGCACCCGGACAGCUACCAUUGUCUUAUGUCCUCUGUCCCUGGUUCUCCACGUUGACUCCCAGUCUUCCUACCACCAUCUUUAGGUAGAAAGUCCCCGCAACGACCAAAGCUGGUCUGUGCACUGUGGAGGUCCAGGACCAGCUACGGACAAAGAGUGAGUAUAAGAACUUAGAAAUGUUGGCUGGGUGCGGUGGCUCAUACCUGUAAUCCUAGCACUUCGGGAGGCCGAGGUGGGCGGAUCACCUGAGGUCGGGGUUCGAGACCAGCCUGGCCAACAUGGUGAAACUCCGUCUCCACUAAAAAUACAAAAAUUAGCCAGGCAUGGUGGCACAUGCCUGUAGUCCCAGCUACAUGGGAGGCUGAGGCAGGAGAAUCGCUUGAACCCGGGAGGUGGAGGUUGCAGUGAGCCAAGACUGUGCCACUGCACUCCAGCCUGGGUGACAGAGUGAGACUCCAUCUCAAAAAAAAAAAAAAAUUAAAAAUGUUAAUAGCACAUCCAAGCACUCCAUCAGUGGGCCCUCCAGCUGAAUUGGGUGUGAGCCAUUUGGUGCUGUUGAGUACGCAUGGUAAGUGCAAGCUGCAGGCUGUCGGGCACAGUAGGUCUGGGUGCAUGUCUGUGACAGGCUGGAAAUAUAAACACUGGUCCUCCUCCCAGACUGUUUGAGAAGCAGUGCUCUAAAGAAUGACCACUCAUAAACUAAGGGAACUCUGGGUGGU